GACGAACGCUGGCGGCGUGCCUAAUACAUGCAAGUAGAACGCUGAAGAGAGGAGCUUGCUCUUCUUGGAAGAGUUGCGAACGGGUGAGUAACGCGUAGGUAACCUGCCUUGUAGCGGGGGAUAACUAUUGGAAACGAUAGCUAAUACCGCAUAACAAUGGGUGACCCAUGUCAUUCAUUUGAAAGGGGCAACUGCUCCACUACAAGAUGGACCUGCGUUGUAUUAGCUAGUAGGUGAGGUAACGGCUCACCUAGGCGACGAUACAUAGCCGACCUGAGAGGGUGAUCGGCCACACUGGGACUGAGACACGGCCCAGACUCCUACGGGAGGCAGCAGUAGGGAAUCUUCGGCAAUGGGGGCAACCCUGACCGAGCAACGCCGCGUGAGUGAAGAAGGUUUUCGGAUCGUAAAGCUCUGUUGUAAGUCAAGAACGAGUGUGAGAGUGGAAAGUUCACACUGUGACGGUAGCUUACCAGAAAGGGACGGCUAACUACGUGCCAGCAGCCGCGGUAAUACGUAGGUCCCGAGCGUUGUCCGGAUUUAUUGGGCGUAAAGCGAGCGCAGGCGGUUUGAUAAGUCUGAAGUUAAAGGCUGUGGCUCAACCAUAGUUUGCUUUGGAAACUGUCAAACUUGAGUGCAGAAGGGGAGAGUGGAAUUCCAUGUGUAGCGGUGAAAUGCGUAGAUAUAUGGAGGAACACCGGUGGCGAAAGCGGCUCUCUGGUCUGUAACUGACGCUGAGGCUCGAAAGCGUGGGGAGCGAACAGGAUUAGAUACCCUGGUAGUCCAAGGGCGAAUUCCACAGUGGAUAUCAAGCUUAUCGAUACCGUCGACCUCGAGGGGGGGCCCGAUACCCAGCUUUUGUUCCCUUUAUGAGGGUUA
This 879-nucleotide ribosomal RNA is filed under the name uncultured Streptococcus sp. Its description in RNAcentral is "bacterial SSU rRNA". It matches the Rfam family "Bacterial small subunit ribosomal RNA". The record is from RNAcentral. Lineage: Bacteria; Bacillati; Bacillota; Bacilli; Lactobacillales; Streptococcaceae.